CCUACGGGUGGCAGCAGUGAGGAAUAUUGGUCAAUGGACGAGAGUCUGAACCAGCCAAGUAGCGUGAAGGAUGACUGCCCUAUGGGUUGUAAACUUCUUUUAUAUGGGAAUAAAAUGUUCCACGUGUGGCUUUUUGUAUGUACCAUAUGAAUAAGGAUCGGCUAACUCCGUGCCAGCAGCCGCGGUAAUACGGAGGAUCCGAGCGUUAUCCGGAUUUAUUGGGUUUAAAGGGAGCGUAGGUGGAUUGUUAAGUCAGUUGUGAAAGUUUGCGGCUCAACCGUAAAAUUGCAGUUGAAACUGGCAGUCUUGAGUACAGUAGAGGUGGGCGGAAUUCGUGGUGUAGCGGUGAAAUGCUUAGAUAUCACGAAGAACUCCGAUUGCGAAGGCAGCUCACUGGACUGCAACUGACACUGAGGCUCGAAAGUGUGGGUAUCAAACAGGAUUAGAUACCCUUGUAGUC
Molecule: ribosomal RNA, 460 nt
Filed under: uncultured bacterium
Lineage: Bacteria
Description: partial 16S ribosomal RNA
Rfam family: Bacterial small subunit ribosomal RNA
Source: RNAcentral